AACCUCCGGGGGCAGGAGGUUCGACUCGAGCGAAGCGAGAGAACGUUGCGUCAGCAACGGCCCGCAGGGCGAGCCACGAAGUGGUGAGUC
This 90-nucleotide small RNA is filed under the name Klebsiella pneumoniae. Its description in RNAcentral is "RtT sRNA". It matches the Rfam family "RtT RNA", at positions 27 to 112 of the family's 130-position model. Rfam says of the family: This family represents a bacterial cis-regulatory element known as RtT RNA. The record is from RNAcentral. Lineage: Bacteria; Pseudomonadati; Pseudomonadota; Gammaproteobacteria; Enterobacterales; Enterobacteriaceae.